This 464-nucleotide long non-coding RNA is filed under the name Rattus norvegicus (Norway rat). Its description in RNAcentral is "long non-coding RNA NONRATT025730". The record is from RNAcentral. Lineage: Eukaryota; Metazoa; Chordata; Mammalia; Rodentia; Muridae.
UUACGAUGUGACUCUCACGAAUGCCUGCAUCGCCUUAAGUCAAAGAUGGGUCACUGCCAAAGAGGAAGAUUUAAAUUCAUUCAGCAUCGAAGACCUGAAGGACCUCUCGUCCCAUCAGCUGAAUGAGUUCCUGGCACAGGUGCUUCAGAAGAUGGUUACGGCUCUGCAUUCAAUCGAAGUGGGAAGAAGCAAUUCCUUUGGCCCUAAAGAUGGCAACUGAACAAGGAAGGAUGAAAUUUACACGACCUCUAUUCAAGGACCUCGCUGCCUUCGACAAAUCCCACGAUCAAGCUGUCCGCACCUACCAGGAACAUAAAGCCUGUAUGCAUCCCGUGACCGCCAUGCUGGUGGGGAAAGAUCUGAAAGUGGAUUAAGGAACUGAGUGUUGCUGAUUUCAGAAAAUUCCUUUUUUUAAGAAAAAAAAUCGAACCUAUUAAGAAAUACAAAAUUUUAGCUCUCGUUGU